GACGAACGCUGGCGGCGUGCCUAAUACAUGCAAGUCGAGCGAAUCUUUGGGAGCUUGCUCCCAAAGAUUAGCGGCGGACGGGUGAGUAACACGUGGGCAACCUGCCUAUAAGACUGGGAUAACUUCGGGAAACCGGAGCUAAUACCGGAUAAUUCAUAUCUACUCAUGUAGAUAGGCUGAAAGACGGUUUCGGCUGUCACUUAUAGAUGGGCCCGCGGCGCAUUAGCUAGUUGGUGAGGUAAUGGCUCACCAAGGCAACGAUGCGUAGCCGACCUGAGAGGGUGAUCGGCCACACUGGGACUGAGACACGGCCCAGACUCCUACGGGAGGCAGCAGUAGGGAAUCUUCCGCAAUGGACGAAAGUCUGACGGAGCAACGCCGCGUGAGUGAUGAAGGUUUUCGGAUCGUAAAACUCUGUUGUUAGGGAAGAAUAAGUACCAGAGUAACUGCUGGUACCUUGACGGUACCUAACCAGAAAGCCACGGCUAACUACGUGCCAGCAGCCGCCGUAA
This 512-nucleotide ribosomal RNA is filed under the name uncultured bacterium. Its description in RNAcentral is "partial 16S ribosomal RNA". It matches the Rfam family "Bacterial small subunit ribosomal RNA", at positions 28 to 523 of the family's 1533-position model. The record is from RNAcentral.